Molecule: long non-coding RNA, 2094 nt
Filed under: Homo sapiens (human)
Lineage: Eukaryota; Metazoa; Chordata; Mammalia; Primates; Hominidae
Description: long independently transcribed non-coding RNA 2756, transcript variant 2 (LINC02756)
Source: RNAcentral
AAAGUUACACAAGAAGAAUUGGCCCUUGACCAGCCUGAUUGGUUGCAGGAGGGGACCAAUCAGAGGUACCUCCCAUUUUUCAUCUGCAGCCCAAUGCAAAGUAAUGACAUGGAUCUGGAGAGAUUCUCUUAGGAGAGAAUCUGGCUAAGUGUCUAGCAGGAUGAUUGAUUAACAAGAUGUUUUGUUUUCAUCAUCUCAGAGAUAACUGUAUUGAGGUAUAAUUGAUAUGCCAAAUAACUGGACACAUUCAACUUGUGCAAUUUGAUGAGUUUGGAGAUACACAUACAUCUGUGAAACCAUCACCAAAAUCAAGAGUACAUGGUUUCCAGGCCAAAUACCACAGUGUUCCAGGCAAGGAUGUGGUCAGUUUCCUUCUCUGCUGGAUCCCAAAGCCCAGGGCAGCUCUUGCACAUAGAUCGUUGUCAUUGGAUUUAAGAGGGCCUACCCUGAUAAUACAGGAUAAACUCCUUCUCCCAAAACCUUUUCUUCUCUCAGAAUCUUUUGGCAGCAAACACAUUCAAGCAUCUUCUAUGUGCCAAGAACUUGCUGGAAAACAUCACAAAAGUUAAUAUUUUCUGGAGAUCAAGGAAUGAAACUCAGCCCUCUGCAAAUGGAACACAAACGCCUGGUACAUGGAUGCUACAAUGAAAAGAAUAUGGGUGCUGAAAUCAGAGAGAAUCAUCCAAGAUGAUCCUUAUGCAUGCUGAACUCUGAGAGCCACCAGUGAAGAAGAUAAGUGACCCAUCUACCUGUAGCUGGAAAAUAAAGGCUCUUUGGGAUUCUUUCCCAUGAGUCUUCAUUUCACCAUAUUGGUGAGAGAAGGCAUUCAGGCCCAAUAAUUAACUGAACAUUAGCUGUGUACCAGACACUGUGGUCGACAUUGAGAUAUAACGGAUUUAAGAAAGUCUUUGUGGCUGUGGUGGCUUCAAAUCACUCCCGAGGCUUUAGAAGAAUAUAAUUGCCGUUCUAAGAAGAAUCUGAGGCCUCUAGGAGAUCUGCCAGUAGUGGCCCCAAUGUAUAACAGCACUAGCUCAGUGAAGAGAGAGAGAAAAGAUCUGAAGAGAGUGGUUGCAGUUUGAGCUCUGUCAAUGGGACAGUCCUGGGCAGGAGACUGGGGAGAAGAGGCGGCUUGCUGGUUUUCCUGAACCACUUCCACCCUGAAAGACUCCUUGCAUACAAUCAUCAGAGAAGAACCGUGGGAACCAAGAACCAUGAGCAGGAGAACCAUGAGCACACUGUUCGCAAUGGCCAAGAUUUGGAGGCAACCUAAGUGUCCAUCGACAGACAAAUGGUUAAAGAAAAUGAGGAAGGAAUAUCAAGAAAAUAGACUACAAAUAAAUGUCUUUUAUUUCUACUUCUUCAAUAUAUAUUAUAACAUUCUUCUUGCCAACUGAUCUUCUUGCCUCCAAUUUGACCCCUCUGAUCCACCAAGUAUUGCAUACUACCGUGUUUUGAGACAUAGGAGGAGGAAAAAACCAUGGCUGCGGAGGUGAUUUAAUAUCCUGUUGACUCUGAAGAAAAAUACACUUCUUCAUUAUAAGAGUUUUAUUGCCAAUGACUAGAAGGAAAUGUAAAGGGGACAACACAAGAUGACUAACACAGGAAGUUAUAAAACUCACAGCUCUAACUGUCAUGGCCCUGGGCCCAUGGUGCCUGAAUCCCUCUGGGAGUAUUAAAUGGAAGGCCCCCUGGUACCUGAAUUUUGUUUUAGUUUUCUCUCUCCAUCUCUGUGAUUACACAUAAAAUCAGCCAAGCACCUGCUCCCCUCCAGCCUAGAUAACACAUACCUCCAUGCUAUAAAGGGACAAUUUGACCAAGAGACACCCACCUCACCUGACCACAGAGCUGGAAAAUCUACUAUGUCAGACUUCCAUGCAACCGCUGGUGGGAGAAAGUUUUCACGAGUCUCUCUGGGCCCUUAUCCCUCUCCCCUGUAUUCCCAUCCUUAUCCAAAUCCACAUUUCACCAAACUCCCUAACGCUAAGCAGCUGUUGAAGUUCAGAUCACAGUCUCUGAGGAGCUCCUGGUUUCCCAUGGAAUGUGAUUUGCCUCAUCAUCUUACAGCCUGCCUCCACUUUGCUUUCUUAUCAUUUC